This 436-nucleotide ribosomal RNA is filed under the name uncultured bacterium. RNAcentral describes it as "bacterial SSU rRNA". It matches the Rfam family "Bacterial small subunit ribosomal RNA", at positions 28 to 465 of the family's 1533-position model. The record is from RNAcentral.
GAUGAACGCUAGCGGCAGGCUUAACACAUGCAAGUCGAGGGGUAGAAGGAGCUUGCUCCUUUGAGACCGGCGCACGGGUGCGUAACGCGUAUGCAAUCUACCUUUUGCAGAGGAUAGCCCAGAGAAAUUUGGAUUAAUACCUCAUAGUAUGUGAGGAUGGCAUCAUUUUCACAUUAAAGUCACAACGGCAAAAGAUGAGCAUGCGUCCCAUUAGCUAGUUGGUAAGGUAACGGCUUACCAAGGCUACGAUGGGUAGGGGUCCUGAGAGGGAGAUCCCCCCACACUGGUACUGAGACACGGACCAGACUCCUACGGGAGGCAGCAGUGAGGAAUAUGGACAAUGGGCGCAAGCCUGAUCCAGCCAUGCCGCGUGCAGGAUGACGGUCCUAUGGAUUGUAAACUGCUUUUGUACAGGAAGAAACCACUUAACUUUCGG